UGCGGUGAGCCAGUGAGCUAACUGAUACUAAUUGCCCGUGAGGCUUAACCAUACAACACCCAAGGGGUUU
Molecule: ribosomal RNA, 70 nt
Filed under: Vibrio parahaemolyticus
Lineage: Bacteria; Pseudomonadati; Pseudomonadota; Gammaproteobacteria; Vibrionales; Vibrionaceae
Description: partial 23S ribosomal RNA
Source: RNAcentral